This 723-nucleotide ribosomal RNA is filed under the name uncultured Actinomycetes bacterium. RNAcentral describes it as "bacterial SSU rRNA". It matches the Rfam family "Bacterial small subunit ribosomal RNA", at positions 109 to 848 of the family's 1533-position model. The record is from RNAcentral. Lineage: Bacteria; Bacillati; Actinomycetota; Actinomycetes.
AGUAACACGUGGGUGAUCUGCCUUGCACUUCGGGAUAAGCUUGGGAAACUGGGUCUAAUACCGGAUAGGACAGCUGUUUAGUGUCAGUUGUGGAAAGUUUUUUCGGUGCAAGAUGAGCUCGCGGCCUAUCAGCUUGUUGGUGGGGUAAUGGCCUACCAAGGCGUCGACGGGUAGCCGGCCUGAAGGGUGUACGGCCACAUUGGGACUGAGAUACGGCCCAGACUCCUACGGGAGGCAGCAGUGGGGAAUAUUGCACAAUGGGCGGAAGCCUGAUGCAGCGACGCCGCGUGGGGGCAUGAAGGCCUUCGGGUUGUAAACUCCUUUCGACAGGGACGAAGCGUAAGUGACGGUACCUGUAUAAGAAGCACCGGCUAACUACGUGCCAGCAGCCGCGGUAAUACGUAGGGUGCGAGCGUUGUCCGGAAUUACUGGGCGUAAAGAGCUCGUAGGUGGUUUGUCGCGUCGUCUGUGAAAUUCCGGGGCUUAACUCCGGGCGUGCAGGCGAUACGGGCUGACUUGAGUGCUGUAGGGGAGACUGGAAUUCUUGGUGUACGGUGAAAUGCGCAGAUAUCAGGAGGAACACCGAUGGCGAAGGCAGGUCUCUGGGCAGUAACUGACGCUGAGGAGCGAAAGCAUGGGUAGCGAACAGGAUUAGAUGCCCUGGUAGUCCAUGCCGUAAACGGUGGGCGCUAGGUGUAGGGGGCUUCCACGUCUUCUGUGCCG